This 792-nucleotide ribosomal RNA is filed under the name uncultured bacterium. RNAcentral describes it as "bacterial SSU rRNA". It matches the Rfam family "Bacterial small subunit ribosomal RNA", at positions 8 to 796 of the family's 1533-position model. The record is from RNAcentral.
AGAGUUUGAUCAUGGCUCAGGAUGAACGCUAGCGGGAGUAACACAUGCAAGUCGAGGGGUAACAUGAGGUAGCAAUACUUUGAUGACGACCGGCGCACGGGUGAGUAACGCGUAUGUAACCUACCCUGUACAGGGGGAUAGCCCGGAGAAAUUCGGAUUAAUACCCCAUAAAGAUAUUUUGGGGCAUCUUAAGAUAUUUAAAGUUUCGACGGUACGGGAUGGGCAUGCGUGACAUUAGCUAGUUGGUAAGGUAACGGCUUACCAAGGCUGCGAUGUCUAGGGGUCCUGAGAGGGUGAUCCCCCACACUGGUACUGAGACACGGACCAGACUCCUACGGGAGGCAGCAGUGAGGAAUAUUGGUCAAUGGGCGUAAGCCUGAACCAGCCAUCCCGCGUGCAGGAAGACGGCGCUAUGCGUUGUAAACUGCUUUUCCAGGGGAAGAAAACCCUCGACGUGUCGGGGCUUGCCGGUACCCUGGGAAUAAGCAUCGGCUAACUCCGUGCCAGCAGCCGCGGUAAUACGGAGGAUGCGAGCGUUAUCCGGAUUUAUUGGGUUUAAAGGGUGCGUAGGCGGAUUAAUAAGUCAGUGGUGAAAACCUGCAGCUUAACUGUAGAACUGCCAUUGAUACUGUUAGUCUUGAGUACGGUCAAGGUAGGCGGAAUGUGUAAUGUAGCGGUGAAAUGCUUAGAUAUUACACAGAACACCGAUUGCGAAGGCAGCUUACUGGGCCAUUACUGACGCUGAUGCACGAAAGCGUGGGGAGCGAACAGGAUUAGAUACCCUAGUAGUCC